This 74-nucleotide transfer RNA is filed under the name Xylaria arbuscula. RNAcentral's name for it is "tRNA-Val". It matches the Rfam family "tRNA". From Rfam's summary of the family: Transfer RNA (tRNA) molecules are approximately 80 nucleotides in length. Their secondary structure includes four short double-helical elements and three loops (D, anti-codon, and T loops). Lineage: Eukaryota; Fungi; Ascomycota; Sordariomycetes; Xylariales; Xylariaceae. The record is from RNAcentral.
GGUUUCGUGGUGUAGUUGGUUAUCACGGCAGUCUAACACACUGAAGGUCUCCGGUUCAAGUCCGGGCGAAAUCA